UUUUUUUUUUUUUUGAAAAAAUAUAUACCUUCGUUUUUUUUUUUUACGAAACAAAAUACUAUUACUCUAUUAGUGCUACCUUUUUUUUUGUUUUUGAGGUAAAUGUUAUUUUCUUUAUAAAGUGGAAACACUUAACUGAUAAUAAAUAUAAGAUAAAAUUUUAGUGAAUAAAAUUUAAUUUAAUUUAUAAUACAUAGGAUAUAUUAAAUUAAUAAAUUUAAAGUAUUUUUUGAAAGAAAAAUUAGUUUACAAAAUUACAAAUACGUAAAUUAAUGAUAUAAUUUUUAUUAUGAAUUAAGAAUACCUUUUAUGUCAUUUUACAUUUAUCAGCUAGUUGAACCGCUAUUUUUACCAAACACUUCAGUUAGCUUAUCAGCUAAAAGCUAUCAGCUAACUUAUCAGUUAUCCGCUAUUUUUACCAAAGAGAGCCUAAAAAAAUAGUGUCUGCAAUAAUUAGCGUUUUAGACUAUUCAAUCAUUAUACCUUUUUGUUUUUCUUAACGUGCCUCUCUAUUUCAAAGAAGCUAGGCAUAAAAAAAUGUACGUGUUUGCAAGACUUACAUAUUGACUUGUUGUCCGAUCCAACAAAAGUAUUUGUGUGGCAUAUUGGUCAUUUAGUUAGAUUCCUUUAACUUAAUUAAUUAAUGACAAUGGCCAAAACUUGUCAUGAUGAAACGCCAUGAAUUAUGUCCUUAUAUUCAUCACAAAGUUUAGAAACAACGAAGAAGCAACCAAGAAACUACGUGCUCUUGGUAUCUUCCUUCACACUUCCCUUUAUCAUUUUUAUUUUAUUUUCAAAUAUAUACAUUUUUUUUGUGAACAUGGAGAUCAAUGGCAGCAAGAAGAGGAAAAUUUGCAACGAAGAAUUAGAUGAAGAAAAACAAAAAGAAGAGGAAGAGAAAAUAGAGACGUUUUUUGCUCUAGUGAGAAACAUGCGUGAGACACGUGACCGUUGGAGGAACAAAAUGAGUGAAAAUAUUAAGGAAGAAAAUAGAGUUGUUGGUGUUUGGAAGCCUACGUUUAAACUUGAAGAUUUCGCUGAAGAGGGUGCAUCUAAGAGCAAUAAUAUUAACUGUGCUAAUAUUAUUAAGGAAGAUGACACAGAAAAAGGUAUUAACUUGAAGCUCUCACUUUGAAAUUGUUGCUACAUGCAUCAAGAUAUCGUAGCUUGAUCUUAUGUUGUGUGUUGUAAAUUUGUAAUGGAUCAUUUUCAUGAUUUCUUUCCCUAACUUAUUAGUUGCCAAUAUGAGCAACAAGUAGAUUUAUAGUUUAAUUUAAUCAUAUGAUUUAUAUGUGUGCACUGUGCAGUAUGCUAUUGUAGUACUUUAGCAUCGCAUCCUAUAUAAUUUUCUUCAACUAAUUAACAGUUGUUUAUGCUCUUAGUUCAAAAAAUACUCCUUCAAAAUUCAUAGUUAACGAAGCUAGAGUUGUCACUCCGUCGCAUAUUGAAGUUAUUUAAACAAUUUCAUAUAGAUCAAUACAAGUAGUUAAAUUUGUAUGGUGAAGAGAAAUUAUGAGUAACUUUAUAGAAUUAUCAUUUAUAGUUGGCAUGAAAAAUAAAAAUUAAAGAAUUGAAAAGAAAAAAAGAAACUUUUGAAUUGAUAAUCUGGUAUUUCGUGUGAUAAACUGUGGAGACUAAAUUUUCAAGUUGAUAAGACCACAAUAAAUUACAAAUUCCUCAAAAUAAUUAACACUUUUUUAAUGACAUAUAUAUAAAAGAAAAAGAGAACAAAUGUUCAACACCAACAAUAAAAAGGAACCAAAAAGAUAAAAAAAAAAAAAAAAAAACCUAGCAUCACCAAUAUCAAACAAAAAUACAACACCCUAGAAAAAUACGAAAAGAUAAACACCAACCACAAAGCAACUUAAGAGGGAAAGAACGCCCCUACAAGGCUACAACAAACACCAAGAACCCAACACAAAAGGACAAUGAAUGAAGAAAUUUAACACUAUUGUAUUUUCAGAGCUGAAUUUAACUCAUGACCUCUAGUUAAGUUGGAAGCUUUUACUAUCUC
Molecule: long non-coding RNA, 2014 nt
Filed under: Medicago truncatula (barrel medic)
Lineage: Eukaryota; Viridiplantae; Streptophyta; Magnoliopsida; Fabales; Fabaceae
Description: long non-coding RNA (MTRU_LNC006528)
Source: RNAcentral